Molecule: transfer RNA, 106 nt
Filed under: Meloidogyne enterolobii
Lineage: Eukaryota; Metazoa; Nematoda; Chromadorea; Rhabditida; Meloidogynidae
Rfam family: tRNA
About the family: Transfer RNA (tRNA) molecules are approximately 80 nucleotides in length. Their secondary structure includes four short double-helical elements and three loops (D, anti-codon, and T loops).
Source: Rfam by way of RNAcentral
GCCCCUGUAGCUUAGUGGUAGAGCACCUGUAUGACCUGUACGUGGUGAGCGAAAUCGCCUAGCAAUAAAUGUCAGUAGGUCGCAGGAUCGAAGCCUGCCUGAGAUU